RNAcentral lists this ribosomal RNA (379 nucleotides) under uncultured bacterium. RNAcentral describes it as "bacterial SSU rRNA". It matches the Rfam family "Bacterial small subunit ribosomal RNA", at positions 355 to 725 of the family's 1533-position model. The record is from RNAcentral.
UGGGGAAUAUUGGACAAUGGGGGCAACCCUGAUCCAGCGAUGCCGCGUGUGCGAAGAAGGCCUGCGGGUUGUAAAGCACUUUGGUUGGGGAAGAAGGUUGGGCGUUGAAUAGAUGCCUGAAUUGACGUUACCCAAAGAACAAGCACCGGCUAACUCUGUGCCAGCAGCCGCGGUAAUACAGAGGGUGCGAGCGUUAAUCGGAAUUACUGGGCGUAAAGGGUGCGUAGGCGGUUAAAUAAGUUAGAUGUGAAAUCCCCGGGCUUAACCUGGGAAUUGCAUUUAAUACUGUAUGACUAGAGUAGAGUAGAGGGAAGUGGAAUUUCCGGUGUAGCGGUGAAAUGCGUAGAUAUACGGAAGGAACACCAGUGGCGAAGGCGAC